Nomascus leucogenys (northern white-cheeked gibbon) is the source of this 152-nucleotide small nuclear RNA. Its record names the gene U4. It matches the Rfam family "U4 spliceosomal RNA". From Rfam's summary of the family: U4 small nuclear RNA (U4 snRNA) is a component of the major U2-dependent spliceosome. The structure of U4 snRNA from yeast and human has been reported. The record is from Ensembl. NCBI's taxonomy places the organism in Eukaryota, Metazoa, Chordata, Mammalia, Primates, Hylobatidae.
CACCCUGCACAGUAGUAGUAUCAUAGUCAAUGAGGUUUAUCUGAGGCACAAUUAUUGCUAAUUGAAAUCUUUUCACAAUAUUCCUGCCAUGAUGACUUGAAAUAUAGUCAUAUAUUUCAAGUAUUGGCAAUUAUUGACAGUCUUUAUGGAGA